CUCGGCGAGUCAUUGGGAUUCCAGGUCAGAGGAGCGGGUCACUCCAGAGAAUCCCCGGCCACUCACAAAGGACGUCCCCUCCCAGUGAGCCACCUCCAGCCUCCAGGCCAACAGCCUCCCAGCAGGCAGACCUGGCCGAUGUCCCCUUCUGCUGGUGUAAAACGAAGGGAACGCCCACUUCAGAGAUCGCCACAAAGAUGAAAUGAGACGAUGUCUUUGGCCAACACUGUGAAUUCCAGGGCAGGAACAGCUGUGCUGCAAGAAGAGGCAGCUCCAGAACUGUCAACAACAAGCAGAGAGCAGGAGAGGGUGCCUCAGAGCCGUGCUGAGGGGAGCUCACCCUGCUCACCACAGCCUCGGACGUGAAGG
Talpa occidentalis (Iberian mole) is the source of this 369-nucleotide long non-coding RNA. RefSeq lists it as uncharacterized. The record is from RefSeq and is a predicted model, not a curated record. Lineage: Eukaryota; Metazoa; Chordata; Mammalia; Eulipotyphla; Talpidae. The transcript has 4 exons.